CUGGCGUCCGUGCUGGGGAGCUGCCCGCGGGGCGGGCUUCCACUCCGGCCCCUCUUGGGGUCCACACUCUCACUCCGAGCCCG
Molecule: microRNA precursor, 83 nt
Filed under: Dipodomys ordii (Ord's kangaroo rat)
Lineage: Eukaryota; Metazoa; Chordata; Mammalia; Rodentia; Heteromyidae
Description: mir-1343 microRNA precursor family
Rfam family: mir-1343 microRNA precursor family
Source: Rfam by way of RNAcentral